RNAcentral lists this transfer RNA (72 nucleotides) under Jatropha curcas. It matches the Rfam family "tRNA". Rfam says of the family: Transfer RNA (tRNA) molecules are approximately 80 nucleotides in length. Their secondary structure includes four short double-helical elements and three loops (D, anti-codon, and T loops). The record is from Rfam by way of RNAcentral. Lineage: Eukaryota; Viridiplantae; Streptophyta; Magnoliopsida; Malpighiales; Euphorbiaceae.
UCCGUCUUAGCUCAGCUGGUAGAGCGCAUGGCUUUUAAUCAUGUGGUCGUGGGUUCGAAUAUACAGACGGCG